This 253-nucleotide unclassified non-coding RNA is filed under the name uncultured Gammaproteobacteria bacterium. RNAcentral's name for it is "contains 16S-23S intergenic spacer region". It matches the Rfam family "Bacterial small subunit ribosomal RNA", at positions 524 to 776 of the family's 1533-position model. The record is from RNAcentral. Lineage: Bacteria; Pseudomonadati; Pseudomonadota; Gammaproteobacteria.
UACAGAGGGUGCGAGCGUUAAUCGGAAUUACUGGGCGUAAAGCGCGCGUAGGCGGCUUUGCAAGUCGGGUGUGAAAUCCCCAGGCUCAACCUGGGAACUGCAUUCGAGACUGCAUUGCUAGAGUAUGGGAGAGGGAAGUGGAAUUUCCGGUGUAGCGGUGAAAUGCGUAGAUAUCGGAAGGAACAUCAGUGGCGAAAGCGACUUCCUGGACCAAUACUGACGCUCAUGUGCGAAAGCGUGGGUGGCGAAUGGG